UCGACUUAAGCAACGCAAACCCUACCUGCUUUUGCGUCCUUGCAGCCCCAAAGCUACGCCAGUGUGAAUAAGUGUCGUCAAAGACAU
Molecule: small RNA, 87 nt
Filed under: Metalysinibacillus saudimassiliensis
Lineage: Bacteria; Bacillati; Bacillota; Bacilli; Caryophanales; Caryophanaceae
Also listed under: 1 other name
Description: BsrC
Rfam family: BsrC
About the family: The 301 nucleotide sequence from Kouji Nakamura has been trimmed to a highly conserved ~85 nucleotide long core to form this family.
Source: RNAcentral